GACGAACGCUGGCGGCGUGCUUAACACAUGCAAGUCGAACGGAAAGGCCCUGCUUUUGUGGGGUGCUCGAGUCGCGAACGGGUGAGUAACACGUGAGUAACCUGCCCUUGACUUUGGGAUAACUUCAGGAAACUGGGGCUAAUACCGGAUAGGAGCUCCUGCUGCAGGGUGGGGGUUGGAAAGUUUCGGCGGUUGGGGAUGGACUCGCGGCUUAUCAGCUUGUUGGUGGGGUACUGGCUUACCAAGGCUUUGACGGGUAGCCGGCCUGAGAGGGUGACCGGCCACAUUGGGACUGAGAUACGGCCAAGACUCCUACGGGAGGCAGCAGUGGGGAAUAUUGCACAAUGGGCGGAAGCCUGAUGCAGCAACGCCGCGUGCGGGAUGACGGCCUUCGGGUUGUAAACCGCUUUCGCCUGUGACGAAGCGUGAGUGACGGUAAUGGGUAAAGAAGCACCGGCUAACUACGUG
This 468-nucleotide ribosomal RNA is filed under the name uncultured bacterium. RNAcentral describes it as "partial 16S ribosomal RNA". It matches the Rfam family "Bacterial small subunit ribosomal RNA", at positions 28 to 507 of the family's 1533-position model. The record is from RNAcentral.